UGCGGAUGCUGGAAAGCUGAGUGAUGACUGGCCUUUAUGGAAAGGCCAGAAAGAGGUUUGGGGCGCAGGGAGCCCGCAGGUGGGGGUCAGCAGGACGCAGCUGUGGGUUCUUGGUCACCUUCCCCUGCCUGAAGCACCUGGCACGCUGAGCAGCAAGUCACUCCUCCCCAGAGGGGGCACCGCCAGGCGGGCAUGCCAGGCAGGCGGGUGGGGCCAAUCCCUCGCUGUUUAUGAUGUGCGCCUGGACUUGGGUCCAUCACAAACGGACGCACCAACCCGGUCACUUGGACGCAGCCUGCAGCAGCGGCAGCUGACAGGCGACGGCCAUAAACACGGCCGGCCAGCGCCGGGCACCACGCUCAGCGGCAGCGGGCCGCUCCCACGACGACCCCGACCAAGGUUCACUUGACAGCCCCUGCCUCAGUGCGUGGCCCCGCCAGCAACACCCCAGAAGGGAGCCUCGGGAAUCGGCCACUGUCAUCAGGAUGAGCUUGUGCCGGGCACAGGGCGCAAGGCGGCCAACCGCCCAGGUGGCACCCUGAGCUGCCCUUCCUGUUCUCAUGCCCGCAGGGAUCUAAGCGCAAGGACAGAGCAGAGCAGGGCAGGCCAGGCCCGUUGUCCUGAUCAACACCGACAGCUCCUGAUGCUGGAUUCUCCUGGGGGGAGGGUGCCCCACAGACCUGGGCCCAGGGGCACGUAGAGGCCUCCGACAGGGCGCUGAAGAGGGGACCCCCGCUCUCACACAGGCCCCUCCAUAACCUCACACCCUCUUCCUGCUGGCUGAGUCGCACACCCACCACCUCCCCCUGACCCACCUCCAGCACCCUGACCCUGGCCCCACGACCACUGAAGGCUACGCCCCAGGGCCACUGCAAGGGGGACAGUCCCCAGGGCAGCCUCCAACCUCCCCACCCCUCAGAGCAGCCUCAGCAGCGUGUGGGAUUUCAAGAUUCACAUGCCCAGACCUGCUGAGCCAGAGGUGAGACAGGGGCACCUGUGUGGCUCACCCCCCACCAGACGAGGGACCCAGCAGCUGUGUGGCUCACUCCCCACCAGACUGGGGACCCAGCAGCCGUGUGGUUCACAUCCUCCCCCAGGAGACCAGGGGGGAGCAUCUGUGUGAUUCACCACCCCCGACCAGGGGACCAGGGACCCAGCACCUAUGUGGCUCACCCCCUGCUCCCCACCAGAGGGCUCAGGUUGAAAGCUGCCCCUUGCCUCUGAGCCCCAGCCCUCCUGGGACAACUUCUCUGGGACAGCUGGCCACCACCAGGUUAGGGGCUUGCCGC
RNAcentral lists this long non-coding RNA (1289 nucleotides) under Bos grunniens (domestic yak). RNAcentral's name for it is "lncRNA (ENSBGRG00000007827.1)". Lineage: Eukaryota; Metazoa; Chordata; Mammalia; Artiodactyla; Bovidae. The record is from RNAcentral.